RNAcentral lists this ribosomal RNA (487 nucleotides) under uncultured bacterium. RNAcentral's name for it is "partial 16S ribosomal RNA". It matches the Rfam family "Bacterial small subunit ribosomal RNA", at positions 27 to 507 of the family's 1533-position model. The record is from RNAcentral.
GAUUGAACGCUGGCGGCAUGCCUUACACAUGCAAGUCGAACGGCAGCACGGGUGCUUGCCCCUGGUGGCGAGUGGCGAACGGGUGAGUAAUACAUCGGAACAUGUCCUGUAGUGGGGGAUAGCCCGGCGAAAGCCGGAUUAAUACCGCAUACGAUCCACGGAUGAAAGCGGGGGACCUUCGGGCCUCGCGCUAUAGGGUUGGCCGAUGGCUGAUUAGCUAGUUGGUGGGGUAAAGGCCUACCAAGGCGACGAUCAGUAGCUGGUCUGAGAGGACGACCAGCCACACUGGGACUGAGACACGGCCCAGACUCCUACGGGAGGCAGCAGUGGGGAAUUUUGGACAAUGGGCGAAGGCCUGAUCCAGCAAUGCCGCGUGUGUGAAGAAGGCCUUCGGGUUGUAAAGCACUUUUGUCCGGAAAGAAAUCCUUGACUCUAAUACAGUCGGGGGAUGACGGUACCGGAAGAAUAAGCACCGGCUAACUACGUG